RNAcentral lists this long non-coding RNA (1478 nucleotides) under Homo sapiens (human). RNAcentral describes it as "HSALNT0361549". The record is from RNAcentral. Lineage: Eukaryota; Metazoa; Chordata; Mammalia; Primates; Hominidae.
UAGAUCCAGGUGUGAACAUACCGAAAACUUAGCUGUAGCUGGCCUGGCCCCACUCACUAGAAGGUCUCCCGUGGAGAGCAGCCCAGACCCGGCCACACUCAGUGAGGAGGAAGUGCGCCUCCUGCUGGCUGCACUGGUGCAGGACUAUGUGCAGAUGAAGGCCAGUGAGCUGGAGCAGGAGCAGGAGACAGAGCUCCAGUUUCAGUUCUUGCCGGAGAGUUUCCAGAUUUCUCCUCCUGAUGGCCUGUUCUGUGGAUUUUGGAUUUGCCAAGGCAGCCCUCACAAUCCGUGAAAACAUGAAAACAGAAUUUCAACUGAUUCAGCACAAAAGAUUACAAUAACCUAAUAUGAUCAUUGGAAAAGAAUGAAUCAGAAUCUUGGCUUCUAUUGAAGAACAGACAUUACCUUGUAGGUAUCCCCCGCCACAAAAAAGCCAGAAAAAAUCUGAUGACAAUAGAGAAUGACGUAAAAAAUUUUUUAAUGCUAAAGAUUGAACUGUAAAAAACUCUCCUGAAUUGUGCCCUAAACCUAUGUGUUCCAAAAAAAGUUUGAAGGCUUAUUCCAUCUGCAUCAUCUGGGUACUUGUAAAGACAUAUACAUAUCCCCAGGCUCCAUCCUAUGCCAACCAAAUCACCAGGGGUCAGGUCUGAGUAUUAAAUAUUUACCAGGAGAUUCUGACGCACAACGACUUUUGGGAAGUAGCACUCAACUGUCAGUGCUUAUGUCAUAUCCUUUCUUUCCUUCAUCUCAUUGGUCAAGGUCAGGUUUCUGCAGGAAGCUCUCUGUGUUUUUUUUUUUUUACCUGCUGGCAAAUUUCUGCGGUUCCUUUUGUUUACUAACUCCCUUAUCUUAAUAUGGCAUUUAAUCAGAGUAUGUUAGUUUAUGAAACCAUGAAAUUGGGUUUGGAAAAUAGUGGAGAAAAGUAAAACAAUAUUUAAUUUCUUCCCAUAUUGGAUCUUUAGAUCCUGCUUUGCUACAUUAGUUCAGGCAUUCUCUCACAUAGAACAACAGGCAUAUUAAUAUUCAAAUGCAAAUCUGAAUGUAACCCACAUCACUGGCAAGAAAGAUCCUAGCAUGUAGUUUCCUGGGAAGAUAUCAUAGCUCACUUGGAUUAAACAACAGCUAAGGAUUUUCCAACUGAUAAGCUUGAUAUAAUAAAGUUCCUGACCUAAUGCUUUAGGUUUAAUUAACAGUACCACUUUAGGCUUAGAACAAAGGUCUAAUCCUCAGGAUCCAAAGUUCAAAUCCCAGUUGUACUAUUAAAUGGGAUUUUAGGAAAUUUGCUUCACUUUUUCACAUCUAGAUUUUCUGAUUAGUAAAAUGAAGAUACAGUAUGUCAUACUGAAACAAUAACAAUAGCUAAUAGUCAUUAGACGCUAUGCUAAAUGGAAGGCAAGUGGGAAAACAAAAUGAAUUGUUUCUCAUCCAUUGAAGAAAUAUUGGCAAGGUGUGGUGCCUCAUGCCUGUAAUCCCAGUGC